This 497-nucleotide ribosomal RNA is filed under the name uncultured bacterium. RNAcentral describes it as "partial 16S ribosomal RNA". It matches the Rfam family "Bacterial small subunit ribosomal RNA", at positions 28 to 507 of the family's 1533-position model. The record is from RNAcentral.
GAUGAACGCUGGCGGCGUGCUUAACACAUGCAAGUCGAGCGAACAGACGAGGUGCUUGCUCCUCUGACGUUAGCGGCGGACGGGUGAGUAACAAGUGGAUAACCUACCUAUCAGCCUGGGAUGACUUCGGGACACCGGAGCUACUACCGGAUAAUAUAUUGAACCUGACGGUUUAAUGGUGAGAGACGGCUUUGGUGUCACUUAUGGAUUGUUCCGCGCCGCAUCAGCUAGUUGGUAAGGUAACGGCUUACCAAGGCCACGAUGCGUAGCCGACCUGAGCGGGUGAUCGGCCACACUGGAACUGAGACACGGUCCAGACUCCUACGGGAGGCAGCAGUAGGGAAUCUUCCGCAAUGGGCGAAAGCCUGACGGAGCAACGCCGCGUGAGUGAUGAAGGUCUUCGGAUCGUAAAACUCUGUUAUUAGGGAAGAACAAAUGUGUAAGUAACUAUGCACGUCUUGACGGUACCUAAUCAGAAAGCCACGGCUAACUACGUG